This 165-nucleotide small nuclear RNA is filed under the name Ornithorhynchus anatinus (platypus). Its description in RNAcentral is "U1 spliceosomal RNA (multiple genes)". It matches the Rfam family "U1 spliceosomal RNA". Rfam says of the family: U1 is a small nuclear RNA (snRNA) component of the spliceosome (involved in pre-mRNA splicing). Its 5' end forms complementary base pairs with the 5' splice junction, thus defining the 5' donor site of an intron. Lineage: Eukaryota; Metazoa; Chordata; Mammalia; Monotremata; Ornithorhynchidae. The record is from Rfam by way of RNAcentral.
CUACUUACCUGGCAGGGGAGACACCAUGAUCACGUAGGUGGUUUUCCCAGGGUGAGGCUCCGCCAUUGCACUUUGGGCUGUGCUGACCCCUGCGAUUUCCCCAAGUGCGGGAAACUCGACUGCAUAAUUGGUGGUAGUGGGGGACUGCGUUCGCGCCCUCCCCUG